RNAcentral lists this small RNA (962 nucleotides) under uncultured Gemmatimonas sp. RNAcentral's name for it is "bacterial SSU rRNA". The stretch from base 1 to 472 matches the Rfam family "Bacterial small subunit ribosomal RNA", at positions 1064 to 1533 of the family's 1533-position model. The record is from RNAcentral. Lineage: Bacteria; Pseudomonadati; Gemmatimonadota; Gemmatimonadia; Gemmatimonadales; Gemmatimonadaceae.
GUCGUGAGAUGUUGGGUUAAGUCCCGCAACGAGCGCAACCCCUGUUCUUAGUUGCCAGCGCGUAAUGGCGGGGACUCUAGGAAGACUGCCGGUGCCAAACCGGAGGAAGGUGGGGACGACGUCAAGUCAUCAUGGUCCUUACGUCUAGGGCUACACACGUGCUACAAUGGGCGGGACAGCGGGGGCCGAGGCAGCAAUGCUCAGGCAAUCCCAAAACCCGUCCUCAGUUCGGAUUGUCGUCUGCAACUCGACGGCAUGAAGCUGGAAUCGCUAGUAAUCGUGGAUCAGCAUCGCCACGGUGAAUACGUUCCCGGGCCUUGUACACACCGCCCGUCACGCCAUGGAAGUGGUGAGCGCCCGAAGUCCGUGUCGGAACCCGCAAGGGGCCAAGCGGCCGAAGGCGAGCAUCAUGACUGGGGCGAAGUCGUAACAAGGUAGCCGUAGGGGAACCUGCGGCUGGAUCACCUCCUUAACGGAGAGUGGCGAGUAGAAAGGGAGCAAUCCUUUUAGAAAGCCCUCAUCUAGUUAUCGCCCGUCUUUCACAUCCAGAUCUCAAUCUCGAUUUCAAAAUAUUCCGGUCCAUAGCCGAGUUAUUCGACUAUGGAUUGGGCUGUAGCAAAGAACCAGCGAACGGGCGCAAUCCCGUCAGCUGUUUGACAACGGAUGAUAGAAGUGAUCGUGGGAUUUGAAGGUGUCGGAAUCCUGAUAAGAAUUCCGAUGCCGCGAAUCAACACUAGUGAUUCAAUUUCGCGGCCCCGAAAGGGGUCGUAUUGAUCUCAGAGCGCAAGCUCUAAGAUCUGAUUGUAUUGCUCGUUAGAUCGCGCGUGUUUCUGUUUGAACAAGUUAUUUGAUCAAGCGAAAGAAAGUAUGCGGGGGAUGCCUAGGUACACAGAGGCGAUGAAGGCCGUGGUAAGCUGCGAUAAGCCAGGGGGAGCUGCACACAAGCUACGAUCCCUGGAUGG